AAUCCAUAGGUUAAUGAGGCGAACCGGGGGAACUGAAACAUCUAAGUACCCCGAGGAAAAGAAAUCAACCGAGAUUCCCCCAGUAGCGGCGAGCGAACGGGGAGGAGCCCAGAGCCUGAAUCAGCAUGUGUGUUAGUGGAAGCGUCUGGAAAGGCGCGCGAUACAGGGUGACAGCCCCGUACACAAAAGCGCAUGUGCUGUGAGCUCGAUGAGUAGGGCGGGACACGUGGUAUCCUGUCUGAAUAUGGGGGGACCAUCCUCCAAGGCUAAAUACUCCUGACUGACCGAUAGUGAACCAGUACCGUGAGGGAAAGGCGAAAAGAACCCCGGCGAGGGGAGUGAAAAAGAACCUGAAACCGUGUACGUACAAGCAGUGGGAGCACCCUUUGGGUGUGACUGCGUACCUUUUGUAUAAUGGGUCAGCGACUUAUAUUCUGUAGCAAGGUUAACCGAAUAGGGGAGCCGGAGGGAAACCGAGUCUUAAUUGGGCGUUAAGUUGCAGGGUAUAGACCCGAAACCCGGUGAUCUAGCCAUGGGCAGGUUGAAGGUUGGGUAACACUAACUGGAGGACCGAACCGACUAAUGUUGAAAAAUUAGCGGAUGACCUGUGGCUGGGGGUGAAAGGCCAAUCAAACCGGGAGAUAGCUGGUUCUCCCCGAAAGCUAUUUAGGUAGCGCCUCGUGAAUUCAUCUCCGGGGGUAGAGCACUGUUUCGGCUAGGGGGCCAUCCCGGCUUACCAACCCGAUGCAAACUGCGAAUACCGGAGAAUGUUAUCACGGGAGACACACGGCGGGUGCUAACGUCCGUCGUGAAGAGGGAAACAACCCAGACCGCCAGCUAAGGUCCCAAAGUCAUGGUUAAGUGGGAAACGAUGUGGGAAGGCCCAGACAGCCAGGAUGUUGGCUUAGAAGCAGCCAUCAUUUAAAGAAAGCGUAAUAGCUCACUGGUCGAGUCGGCCUGCGCGGAAGAUGUAACGGGGCUAAACCAUGCACCGAAGCUGCGGCAGCGACGCUUAUGCGUUGUUGGGUAGGGGAGCGUUCUGUAAGCCUGCGAAGGUGGCCUGUGAGGGUUGCUGGAGGUAUCAGAAGUGCGAAUGCUGACAUAAGUAACGAUAAAGCGGGUGAAAAGCCCGCUCGCCGGAAGACCAAGGGUUCCUGUCCAACGUUAAUCGGGGCAGGGUGAGUCGACCCCUAAGGCGAGGCCGAAAGGCGUAGUCGAUGGGAAACGGGUUAAUAUUCCCGUACUUGGUGUUACUGCGAAGGGGGGACGGAGAAGGCUAUGUUGGCCGGGCGACGGUUGUCCCGGUUUAAGCGUGUAGGUGUGUGUUCCAGGUAAAUCCGGUUCACUUUAACACUGAGGCGUGACGACGAGGCACUACGGUGCUGAAGCAACAAAUGCCCUGCUUCCAGGAAAAGCCUCUAAGCAUCAGGUAACAUCAAAUCGUACCCCAAACCGACACAGGUGGUCAGGUAGAGAAUACCAAGGCGCUUGAGAGAACUCGGGUGAAGGAACUAGGCAAAAUGGUGCCGUAACUUCGGGAGAAGGCACGCUGACACGUAGGUGAAGUGAUUUACUCAUGGAGCUGAAGUCAGUCGAAGAUACCAGCUGGCUGCAACUGUUUAUUAAAAACACAGCACUGUGCAAACACGAAAGUGGACGUAUACGGUGUGACGCCUGCCCGGUGCCGGAAGGUUAAUUGAUGGGGUCAGCGCAAGCGAAGCUCCUGAUCGAAGCCCCGGUAAACGGCGGCCGUAACUAUAACGGUCCUAAGGUAGCGAAAUUCCUUGUCGGGUAAGUUCCGACCUGCACGAAUGGCGUAAUGAUGGCCAGGCUGUCUCCACCCGAGACUCAGUGAAAUUGAACUCGCUGUGAAGAUGCAGUGUACCCGCGGCAAGACGGAAAGACCCCGUGAACCUUUACUAUAGCUUGACACUGAACAUUGAGCCUUGAUGUGUAGGAUAGGUGGGAGGCUUUGAAGUGUGGACGCCAGUCUGCAUGGAGCCGACCUUGAAAUACCACCCUUUAAUGUUUGAUGUUCUAACGUGGACCCGUUACCCGGGUUGCGGACAGUGUCUGGUGGGUAGUUUGACUGGGGCGGUCUCCUCCUAAAGAGUAACGGAGGAGCACGAAGGUUGGCUAAUCCUGGUCGGACAUCAGGAGGUUAGUGCAAUGGCAUAAGCCAGCUUGACUGCGAGCGUGACGGCGCGAGCAGGUGCGAAAGCAGGUCAUAGUGAUCCGGUGGUUCUGAAUGGAAGGGCCAUCGCUCAACGGAUAAAAGGUACUCCGGGGAUAACAGGCUGAUACCGCCCAAGAGUUCAUAUCGACGGCGGUGUUUGGCACCUCGAUGUCGGCUCAUCACAUCCUGGGGCUGAAGUAGGUCCCAAGGGUAUGGCUGUUCGCCAUUUAAAGUGGUACGCGAGCUGGGUUUAGAACGUCGUGAGACAGUUCGGUCCCUAUCUGCCGUGGGCGCUGGAGAACUGAGGGGGGCUGCUCCUAGUACGAGAGGACCGGAGUGGACGCAUCACUGGUGUUCGGGUUGUCAUGCCAAUGGCACUGCCCGGUAGCUAAAUGCGGAAGAGAUAAGUGCUGAAAGCAUCUAAGCACGAAACUUGCCCCGAG
Molecule: ribosomal RNA, 2619 nt
Filed under: Salmonella enterica subsp. enterica serovar Enteritidis
Lineage: Bacteria; Pseudomonadati; Pseudomonadota; Gammaproteobacteria; Enterobacterales; Enterobacteriaceae
Description: partial 23S ribosomal RNA
Rfam family: Bacterial large subunit ribosomal RNA
Source: RNAcentral